RNAcentral lists this long non-coding RNA (229 nucleotides) under Carica papaya (papaya). Its description in RNAcentral is "long non-coding RNA (CPAP_LNC005427)". The record is from RNAcentral. Lineage: Eukaryota; Viridiplantae; Streptophyta; Magnoliopsida; Brassicales; Caricaceae.
AGGUUUUUAUGUUAAUAAACGAGUUUGUUGUAAAUUAUGCUCCAUUGGUCUUUUUGUGUUUUCUACCCACCUUUACCUCCGUGACGGUGAGAUAUCGUGAUGUUCUUACUGGGCUAGUGUAGCUCACUCCUUAUUUAACCAUUUUAGAUCAGGAAGACAUGGUUCCCGAGCCCGUUCCGCAGGAGGACGACGAAAGGGAUGCCUAGAGACUCUGUAGUCAUGCUCAUAG